GUUGCUUCACCACUGGAAGAAUGGCCUGAUUUUCUAUUGUCUGGUCACUCUGUAGAGGGAAGCAUAGAUUGAACAAGAAGCCAGAAUUAAACAGCAUGAUGCUUCCUUCUCUGCAUCCGUGUUACCUGUCUCCUGGCACAACC
This 143-nucleotide small nucleolar RNA is filed under the name Setaria italica (foxtail millet). RNAcentral describes it as "small nucleolar RNA snoR137". It matches the Rfam family "small nucleolar RNA snoR137". The record is from Rfam by way of RNAcentral. Lineage: Eukaryota; Viridiplantae; Streptophyta; Magnoliopsida; Poales; Poaceae.